This 487-nucleotide ribosomal RNA is filed under the name uncultured bacterium. RNAcentral's name for it is "bacterial SSU rRNA". It matches the Rfam family "Bacterial small subunit ribosomal RNA", at positions 28 to 533 of the family's 1533-position model. The record is from RNAcentral.
GAUGAACGUUGGCGGUGUGCCUAAUACAUGCAAGUCGAACGGAGUUAAUAGCAAUAUUGACUUAGUGGCGAACGGGUGAGUAACGCGUUGGUGAUCUGCCUUGAAGUGUGGAAUAACGCUCCGAAAGGAGCGCUAAUACCGCAUGUGCUCUCAAUUUUUAGAAAGUUGAGAGGAAAGGAUUUAUUCGCUUCGAGAGGAGCCUGCGUCCCAUCAGCUGGUUGGUAGGGUAAAGGCCUACCAAGGCAAUGACGGGUAGGGGACCUGAGAGGGUCGGCCCCCCACAAUGGAACUGAAACACGGUCCAUACACCUACGGGUGGCAGCAGUAGGGAAUAUUAGAAAUGGACGAAAGUCUGAUCUAGCAACACCGCGUGUGCGAAGAAGGCCUUCGGGUCGUAAAGCACUUUUUGGAAGGAAUAGGAAGGAAUGUACUUCCAGAAUAAGUCUCGGCUAACUACGUGCGAGCAGCCGCGGUAAAAGUGUGUGUA